AAGCAACGCGAAGAACUUACCAGGCCUUGACAUGCAGAGAACUUUCCAGAGAUGGAUUGGUGCCUUCGGGAACUCUGACACAGGUGCUGCAUAGCUGUCGUCAGCUCGUGUCGUGAGAUGUUGGGUUAAGUCCCGUAACGAGCGCAACCCUUGUCCUUAGUUACCAGCACGUUAUGGUGGGCACUCUAAGGAGACUGCCGGUGACAAACCGGAGGAAGGUGGGGAUGACGUCAAGUCAUCAUGGCCCUUACGGCCUGGGCUACACACGUGCUACAAUGGUCGGUACAAAGGGUUGCCAAGCCGCGAGGUGGAGCUAAUCCCAUAAAACCGAUCGUAGUCCGGAUCGCAGUCUGCAACUCGACUGCGUGAAGUCGGAAUCGCUAGUAAUCGUGAAUCAGAAUGUCACGGUGAAUACGUUCCCGGGCCUU
This 428-nucleotide ribosomal RNA is filed under the name uncultured Pseudomonas sp. RNAcentral describes it as "bacterial SSU rRNA". It matches the Rfam family "Bacterial small subunit ribosomal RNA", at positions 954 to 1382 of the family's 1533-position model. Lineage: Bacteria; Pseudomonadati; Pseudomonadota; Gammaproteobacteria; Pseudomonadales; Pseudomonadaceae. The record is from RNAcentral.